This is a transfer RNA of Pachysolen tannophilus NRRL Y-2460, 73 nucleotides long. It matches the Rfam family "tRNA". From Rfam's summary of the family: Transfer RNA (tRNA) molecules are approximately 80 nucleotides in length. Their secondary structure includes four short double-helical elements and three loops (D, anti-codon, and T loops). NCBI's taxonomy places the organism in Eukaryota, Fungi, Ascomycota, Pichiomycetes, Alaninales, Pachysolenaceae. The record is from Rfam.
GAGAAUUUAGUUAAAUUGGUAUAACAUUUGUUUUACACACAAAAGUGUAAAGGUUCAAAUCCUUUAAUUCUCA